Molecule: long non-coding RNA, 5451 nt
Organism: Camelus dromedarius (Arabian camel)
Lineage: Eukaryota; Metazoa; Chordata; Mammalia; Artiodactyla; Camelidae
Exons: 3
Source: RefSeq, a predicted model, not a curated record
UAAAAUUAGUCUUUCUGUGGAUAACCACACAUCCCAGAAGAUCUUACUGUAUAUUGUGCCAUUCCUCUGCAUUCAUGCCAUGAUGGUUCUCACAUAUAUUAAGUGCCUCUCUAUGUUUGGUGCUAUUUUAAAUCUAUUAUUUUCCAUUUGUCCAUUUAUUUAUGCCUUUUUCAGUAUCCUUAAUUAUAAAAUAAUUUGAUGAUACAAAGGGGGAUUCACCUCACUUGGUAAUUCAGUAUUAUCUGCCCUAAUCUUCUCUCUCUUCUCCAUUUAAAUAUCAGAUUGGUUUUGUCAAAUUUCAUGAAAAUAUCUCUUGUAAUUUUGAUUAGUGCUGCAUUCAACACAUAGAUGAUAGUUCAGAAAUUGGAAUACAUUUCCUGUUGGUUUAAAUUCUACAUGACAUGACAUAUAUCUUCACUUAAUUCAAAUUUUUGAAAUGCUGUUCUCUAAAAUUUAAUAAUUUUCUGAAUUAAAGUCUAACUCAUCCUAUGAUAUUUGUUUCUGUAUUUUAUACUGUAUGUUACUCUUAAUUGCUCUCUCCUUUUGAAAAUAUAUAUUUCACUGUUGCUAGUAUAUGGAAAUAAGUUGACUUUUCAUAUUAUAUGAAACUCAGUUAAAUUAUUAAAUGAUAUGAUAAGUAAUGCAAUGCUUCUUUAGAUUCCUUUGCGUCUUCUGUAUUUGUCAUCUGUCUAUAAUCACUGACUUUCCCUUUUCUCAUUUCACACUUUGUCUUGUUUUGUUAGCUGGGAUUUCAGCACAAUGCUGAACAGAAAUGGUGGUGGCGUUCUUCUGCUCAUUUAUCAAUUACGUGUGACCAGGACAACUAGAAGUACAGGAUACGUGCUACUCACAAUGGGGUUUAAAAGGAUAAGAUUAGAUCCUGGGUAUUUCAAGGAACUAUUGGCAUCCCAGGAUGUUUGCAAAUCAUUCUCCCAGAUGCUACUGAACCUGGUUCAUCUCAGCUGACCAACAAGAAGCCAAAACGCUGAGGUGUGCAGCAGAGAAAAGAUUUGUCUCUAAGGCAGCCAAGCGAGGUGAUGCGAGAACAGAUCUCAGAUCCACCUCCCUGAAAGCAAGAGGCGCAGGGUAUGCAUGUGAUAAAGAAUAAAGAAGUAAAUCUGCCUUAGGUGUGGGGAGCGUGGAGAUCUUGAGGAGAGGUGAUUUGAAAAAGAUGUGGUAACUCUCAUCCUGCGCAGGCAUAACUGAGCUAGAAGCCCUGCAGAGUCAUAAGGGAAGACUCUGAGCAGGAUUCGAGGGUCGAGGUUUUGGUCCCCUGAUUUUGCACACCCAGGUCGAGGGUCCAUGGUUCUAACCAGUCUUAACAAGCUGACAUCCAACUAGACACAGCUUACUCUGGCUCCUCCCAGCUGGAUGUAGCUGACUCCAGGUUCCAGAAAAAUACCUCAAAGAAACAUGUUGUUUAGAUUUACUUGAAGCUUGGAGAACACGCAAGUCUUAAAAAGACCUUGAUUCGAGAAGGCAAGCGAAAUGGAUUUGACUAAUCGUUACCCAGGGUUCCACAGCCCGGACCUGAAGUAUGUCACUUGAGUUCCCUGAAGUAUCUGAGGACUUCCCACCUCAGGUGAGGGGAGGUCUCUGCUUGCUCUUUAAGCUCCAAAAGUGUUUUUACAGAAAGACCCACAUCCCCUCCUAGUGGCCAAAGUUCCAAAUGGUCUUUCCCCUUGGUCCUUCUCAGCCAUCUGGCUGUGGUAAUCCUCUCCAUGAGCCUAAUGAAGCCCAGCUCAUCUUUAGCAGGACGUUGUAAACAUGACUUGCUCUAAAGCACUGCUCUGUGAUUCUACCAGAUCUCCCUGUGUCACAGAGAGUAAUAAGUGGGUUCACACGAUACCCUGCCCGAGCCCGGCUAACAUGGCCAGAGACGCCAGAUCCCUUGAAAGAGUUUUCCCAUGAGUCUGAAACUGUAACAGAACCAUAGAGACAGAAGGUAAUGGUUGCUGAGGCUUUUUUGGCUUUUAGAAAGAAGACUUACGAGCUUCUGCUGCUUAGGAACAUAGGAGGAGGGUUUCUGUUCUUGGUAUUUUUGAUGAUACCAUCUGACAGGUGUGAUAUAACAUCUCAUUGCGGUUUUGAUUUGCCCCUGUGAUGACAGCAGUGUUGAGCAUCCUUCUCUGUGACCCUUGGCCAUCUGUAUGUCUUCUUUGGAAAAAUGUCUAUUAGCUCUCUUGCCCAUUUUGCAAUUGGUAUUUUUUGGAUAUUCAGUAAUAUUAGCUGCUUAUAUAUUUUGGAUAUUAACCCCUUAUCAGUCAUCACUUUGCAUACACUUUUCCCGCUGUGUGAGUUGGCUUUUCAUUUUGUGUAUGGUUUCCUUUGUUAUUAAAACCUCUCAAGCUUAACUAAGUCCCAUUUGUUUAUUUUUGCUUUUGUGUCCUUUGCCUGAGGCGACAGAUACAAAAAUAUUGCUGCAAUUUAUGCCAAAGGGUACCCUAAGUUUUCCUUUCAGCGUUUUAUGAUUUUUGGCCUUACAUGUAAGUCAUUAAUCUAUUUUGUGUCUAUUUUCAUAUAAGCUGUGAGAAACUGUUCUCACCUCUUUCUUUCACACGUGGCUGGCCAGUUUUCCCAGCACCACUUUUUGAAGAAAGUGUCUUUUGCCAAUUUUAUGUUCCUGCAUAUUUUGUCACAGAUUAAUCAACCAUAUUUGUGUGGGCUUACUUCUGGCCUCUCUGCUCUGUUCCAUCGACCUGUGCCUCGGUUUCUGGGCCAGUACCACGCUAUUUUGAUGAUUAUAUCUUUGUACAGCGGGCAGAAGUCGGGGAGCGUGGCACCUUCGGCUUUGGGCUUUUUCCUCAUGAUUGCUGUGGCUCUCCGGGGUCCUCUGUGGUUCCAUAUACAUCUUAGGAGUCUUUGUGCUGGUUUUGUGAAAAUGUCAUGGGUCUUAUGAUAGGGGUUGCUUGAAGUCUGUAGAUUGCUUUGGAUAAAAUAUACCUUUUAACAAUAUUACCUCUUGAACUGGCCCACGGGAGGAACAAGAAGUGAAUUCACAGACUUGAGCAGCACAGCUGGGACACCCGCAUUCCUUACUGCAGGCCACGAGCCUCCCUGUAAAACACGCUCCUUACUGUGCUUAAUGGACUGGUUUAUUUUCGUAAGCAAGGGGCAUCUUUUAACUCUAUCACUAUUGAAUUACUAAUAGUCUGUAUUAAAGAGUGACUAACAGUUGGUCACACAGGUAGUGAGGCUGGUGGUGUGACCCAGGUGUGGUGGCCGGUGACACUCUUUCUGGAGAAGGUAUUUUUCCAUAAGAUACUGAGGCUCAGACAUCAGCUGAGAAAUGUAAAGACUAAAUUGAAGUGGACUAACGUGAAGUCUUGGCAGAAAAUACUUUUAAUCAUUAAAUUCCUUAUGAGUAGUAAAAUACAUUCAGAAUGCAUUUCUUAAAGUAAAUUUAGGAAAAUAUCAACAAAAUAUGUGCAGGAUAUGUUCAAUUACAUCACAAGUCAAUGCUGAGAGAACUUAAAGACCUUGACAGAGCAGCAUGGGGCACAUUUCAGGGAGAGGGAAGUGUUCGGGGUCUGGAUUGUCAUGCUGGCUACAUGGGUAAAAGUAUUUGUCAAAAUCUAGUGAAACAUGAACUUAAAAUGGGUGUGUCCCAUUGCCCUUAUGUUAUACCUGAAGGAUGCUUUUCCCUUGUACAUUUCUGCUCUUCAGGAGGGAGGGGGUUGCAGAGCGCCCUCAGCUGCUCUGGCAGGGACAGCUGUGAGAAGCAGUCAUGAACCCAAAGGAGAGUCUGGGUCUGGAUCAUGAAUUGUGCGGGGCCAGGGGAUCAGGGUCCCCAGGAAAGAAAGUUCACCUGCCGAUCAUCGAGCUUCCCGAAGUUGCCAUGUACCAGCUUCUCCUUCUGGUUAAUAUCUUUCAAGUUGGGUUUCUGUUACUCCUUUCCCACCUCAUACACCACUGGUUUCCUGAGCUGGGCCCAUGAUGAGUUUGUGUGCUAAGAAGAGCCAGCGUUCAGCACCGUGGAUUCACUGCUGGCACAGAAGUACCGCGCUGAGUCCCCUGCCUGAGUGGAGUUGAUUUCCAGGCUGCAGGAUGUCCAGGACUCUGGGUGACCCCCGUGUCCACGGAGCCUGCGGGGGAAAGAGACAAAGUGGAGACAAAGCCCAGGAGGAGCCUGAUUCUGCAGCCACAGGAGAAAAUCCUGGAUCUGGAAUCUGACAAGUUCACAGCAGGAACUCACCUGCUCCCCAGAGCAAAAGGGCCACACAGCAGAGGAGACUGAAGCACAUGGUUGGCUCAGGGGAAAAGCAGGGCAGGUGGCUUUUUGUCUAAGGCUCCUCAUCCCCCAUCAGCAACGUCCUUGUGACGUGGUCCCUUCCCAUGUCAUCACAGUCCCUGUGGAGAGGAAACUACACAUUUUAUAGGCUGGAGGGCAGGGAAAGCUGGUGAUGCAACUAGUGUGGCUUUCAAACUGCUUUUUAUUGCCUUUUUCCUGACUCUGCUUUUUCAUUAUUAAAAAUAAAUAAAUAAAACCAUUUACAUCAUUAAUUUAUUUGCUCUUAACUUGUCAAUUUCCCUCCUCUCCUCCACUCUUGCUUCUCAGGCAAUGAACCAUACAGCUUGGUGUAUGUCAAUCAUAACUUCCCCUGCACUUACAACUCAGAUAGAAUCUACUUUAAAUUUUAAAAACUGCAUGUUGAACUAUACAAAACAAUAUGUACAAUGAGUAUACAGUGCAUCUAGGGAAACAACAAAAUCAAUGCUCUUGCCUGAAACCGUCAAUUUAGGAAACAGAUGAUCACUGAGAAAUUUUCAGCCCCUGUGUUAUUUUUCUAGAUUUCAUUGUUCUUUCUCUACCACGUCCAGGUAAGCAUGACCCUGAAGUUUAUAUUUUCAUUCCCUUGCUUUUCCUUACAGUUCUUGCACUUAUGUAAGAAUCUUUUUAUACCUAUUAUUCAAUGUUGUUUGUCUUUGAAAUGUGUCUAAGGGAGUUCAUUUUGCUCAUACUGUUUUCUGUCAUAUUCUUUGUUUUCAACACUAUGUCUAUGAUAUUAAUUCAUGUUGUGGCAUAUGCUUUUAGAGAAUUCAUUUUCACUAACAUGUAGGCUUCCAUUCUAUUCGUUUGACAGAUUUAUUAUUCAUUCUCCAGUGAAUGCACCCGAGGAUUUUCCCCUAGAUUUUGGGGCUACUGCAAACAGGACAAUCUUCUUGUACAUUCCUUUAGAUACCCUGGUGUAAUAUGUAUCUAUCCCUGAGAUAUAAAAAUUGAUCCUUAGGGUCCCCACGUCAGCUUUACAUAAUUAGACAAAAUGCUUUCUAAAUUAAGACAAGUACAUAGUUCCAUCAACAGGGCAUGCGUGUUUUCUUGUGUUCCACCUCUGAGUCAUUCACACUUAAUAUUCUUUUAUUUGCCCAUCUUCUAGGUUAAAAUAGUACCUCACUAUAGUUGUAGUUUGCAUUUUUAUGAUUGCUAAGGUGGUCCAACUUUGUUUUUUA